Long non-coding RNA from Limulus polyphemus (Atlantic horseshoe crab), 2454 nucleotides. RefSeq lists it as uncharacterized. The record is from RefSeq and is a predicted model, not a curated record. The transcript is spliced from 6 exons. NCBI's taxonomy places the organism in Eukaryota, Metazoa, Arthropoda, Merostomata, Xiphosura, Limulidae.
CCAUAUUACUCUUAGUUACUAUAUAUUACAUAUUAUACUAUGCAAAUCAAGAGUUUAGUGGCAGGUAAUAUCCGUGGUUAUAAUGUUAUCUUGGACUUAUUUUCUUUAGUAGAAAAUAUUUGUAUUUGUUGUUUUUGAUGUUUCUGAGUUCUUCUGCUCCUCUAACGCUAUUUCUUCUUAGCAUAUACGUUGUACUGGACCGUCGAUUUAAUGUAUUAGUUCUUCACUAACACAUCACAAAUGUAUUACUCUCGUUCUUAAGCUUAUUCACCACCAUGCUAGUUCCAUAAAGAGCAUGCGCACUAGUUCCAUUUCAUAGUCGCUGCAGCAGCUUUAGUUCUCACGACAAGCAGCGAGAAGAGAAUAUUGGAAGUUUGCCAGAGUAGAGAACAGCCGUGUAUGUCUGUAGAACGUAGAAAACCACAAGUAUCGUUGCUUUACUUUCCUAGAGAUGGACUAAACGCUUGGUGAUUGUACAUGUGCGUAAAUAAAUCGUUCGAAUUUUCUAGACUCUGUUGAGGUUGACCGAGUGAAGAGUUUCUCUACUCGCUUUUUAUAUAUUUUGAAAUUUCUAGGAACUUGAAACUUCAACGGUAGGCAUUACACGAUGAGCUAAUCUACUACAUGGCUGAAGAAGCCAAGCUCAACGAAGCAGAACUAUUAGAAGAAGAAGCAAAACAUGUAAAGCUAAGACUAUUACUUGCUGAGUAUACCUGACGAUAUACGCACCCCAAGCCUUCUGAAGGUUUGUAAAGGUACCGAAAAUAACUUCCCAGUUAACUAUUUCUGCGGCAUUUGGAUUAUAUAUUUUACUGGAAUUAGUUCCAUUCAGCCAGCGACUGUUGCAAUUUUAACCUUUUUCCUAGCUUAGAAACAGUACGUUUGUUGCUUUUAACAGGCGAUUACAUUUUCAGAGCGAUGUUAAAUAGCACAGUGGCGUUUUAAUUAAUCCUUGCUUACAUGUUUGAUCCUUAAACGUUUCGUUUCUACGGGAUCCUCUAACUUUUCUAAGAUAGCUUAGAAUCAGGAGGUACAGAAGUCCACUCUUUCCUAAUAUAUUAAUCAUUUACCAGUUAUAUCAUAAAACCAAAACUACUUUACCAGAAACUAAUUCGGGGGUAUUCUAUAUGAGUUUUUAGAGAUCGUGUUCUAAACAAUCUGAUUCUCGUUAUUGUCUAAAACUUCAUCUUUUGUCCCUAGCUGUGAGGUUAAAAUCAUGAUCGUAGUUUUUAAUGCUAAAAGUUAAAAGUUUUUGGUGAAAGGAAAUAAUUUAAAAAUAAAAGAUUAUUUUCGAAUGUUUUCACAUUUGUAUUUACAAAAAAUCGAGUAAAAACUAUGAGGAACUGUGUCAUCAGUUUUUUAAGUUUCGACAGUUUUUAGUUAAAACAAAUGUUUAUAUUAUUAGCAAUAUUUCAGUUUAAUUUGUAUCGUGAUAAUUAUUGUUAGAAAAGAAACACUUUAGAAUUUAUUGUUAAAGUAAACUAAACAUUAAGCACGACGAGAAAUCGUUGUUAAAAAGAUUAAAACGUUCUGUUGAUAAUAUUAUGUUGUGGGUAUACAGGAAACCACCCAAAAAGUUAUUCAUUGUUGUACAAAAACAUUAAGAAUUUUAUGCUAAAUUGGUAUUGACGAAACGUCAAAUGUCCAGUUUGUAAUGGAAGUACUGUUAACCUGUGUACUGAGAGUAUUGUUAACCACUGUAAUGAAGGAUUGUCCUUCACUGUGUGAUGGAAGUACUGUUAAUAGCAACAUUUGAAGAAAGUGAAAUUUUUGAAAGACCGCUAUUGCACUGUGAAACUGAAAGCCGUUUUGACAGCAAGAAGGGUAUUAAGAAAACAGCUGGAUUCACCGCAUAAUCAAACCUGUGAAAUACGUUUUUACAAGUAUCAUCUAGACUCUAGAUAUUUAUUCAGAUCCUAGACAUUGGAGGUUAGCAAGGAAGUCUGAGGAAUAACCAUCGAUUUUUCAAAAGAAAGAUAUGCACGCCAAGCCAACUAGAAUACGAAUACCUGAAGUACUAUUUCAUUAUCAAGUGCACGUCGAAACAGAUAUUGAAGUGAUCCACUAGACACUGUAACCCGACAAAACAGUGAGAAGACAGACACUGUCGUACACUAUUUACAGUUACAGGACUUCUAAAUACUCUUGAGAUUUGUCCAUAAUGCCUAAGGAGCACGUGCUCAUUAAUGAGAAGGACUGUGAGCCACGCUUCUGUUCCACUUCCUAAACACUUUACCGGCUACUAUUUUACGAUCAGUAAAGAAACAGGAAAGCAAGUGUGAAAAGGGAACUGGAAGCUGAAACACAAAACGUUAUUUAUUAUUCAGCUGAUGUUGAAAUUAUAAGUAAAACAGGUAACACAGUCUCGUACGAGAGGGCUCCCACGAAGACUCGAGGAUGGCUGAUUCCCACCUGCAUUAUUACCCAUGUUACAACCUUGAGAGCCGACAUUAU